UCGGAGUGUUUGAGUUCCCGUGGAUGAAGGAGAGUAUGAUCUCGACCUCCCUCGAUUGGAGUCUACCGGAAUCUCUUUUUCCGGUUUUAGAUGAUGGUAAUGAGAUGUUUGAAGAGAUUAGUGAUGUGAGAUGGCCAGUGAAAAGGGUUAGUAAUUAUAGGUUGGAGUUUGAGGCCUUUGAAUGCAUUUGGACUUCUAUUUUGGAUUAGAUUGAAAUAUAUAUGUUAGCCAUGUAACUUACAAUGCAUUGAGAGUCUAGGACCAAACAAUGAAACUGUUUUCAUUUUUCUUUUAUGUUGAUAAUAAUGUGUUUGUUGAGAUGUAAAAGAGAGUAGAAGGGAAGGACCGAAGGAGUAGUUUUUGGUUUUUUAGAUAGGACGAAAAUAAAACAACAUUUCUUGUUGAAUUUUGCAUUAGUAUAUACGUGGGUGUUAAAAUUUCCUUUACGAUUAGUCCUUCAACUUCGUCAAUCGCCGAGCUUUGUGGCCUCUCUCCAGGACUUGACAAAACCAAUCUAAAACUUUUCUCUGAUGACAUGCAUGAUGUGUCGUCCUUGUUGGAUCAUAGACACAGCCACUGUUUGGAAUCAUAUACUUUCUGACCUCAACUUCAACACUUGGUCAGGUCUAUACACAUGUGUCCAAAUAGAAGUGAAAACAGUUUGAAUGCAUUGUAAAUCACCCUUAAUCUUUUUCCUUGAUAAUAAAUCGAGCGGGCCAUGAGAAGCUAAAUCUGUGAGAGCACAAAUAUUGUCUAUUACCUUUGAAUGCAUUUGGACUUCUAUUUUUGAUGAUGAUGUGAUAUAGCAAAAUUGAUGUAUCCAUAACUGGAACUAAUGUGCUGUGAAAAGUUGAAAUCCGGAAUAUUUUGACCAAUUCAAGCCUGAAAACAAAGGUUGCUCCUUAACAAAGUUUAGAUAAAAGACU
RNAcentral lists this long non-coding RNA (926 nucleotides) under Arabidopsis lyrata. RNAcentral describes it as "long non-coding RNA (ALYR_LNC002707)". Lineage: Eukaryota; Viridiplantae; Streptophyta; Magnoliopsida; Brassicales; Brassicaceae. The record is from RNAcentral.